This is a small nuclear RNA of Ursus americanus (American black bear), 103 nucleotides long. NCBI's taxonomy places the organism in Eukaryota, Metazoa, Chordata, Mammalia, Carnivora, Ursidae. The record is from Ensembl.
GUGGUCGCUUCGGUAGCACAUAGACUAGAAUAAUGACACAGAGAAGACUGGCAUGGCCCUGUGCAAGGAUGACAUGCAAAUUCUGAAGGAAAGUCUGAUUAUU